This 253-nucleotide ribosomal RNA is filed under the name uncultured bacterium. Its description in RNAcentral is "partial 16S ribosomal RNA". It matches the Rfam family "Bacterial small subunit ribosomal RNA", at positions 524 to 776 of the family's 1533-position model. The record is from RNAcentral.
CACGUAGGGGGCGAGCGUUGUCCGGAUUUAUUGGGCGUAAAGAGCUCGUAGGCGGUCUGUCGCGUCUGCUGUGAAAACUCGGGGCUUAACCCCGGGCCUGCAGUGGGUACGGGCAGACUAGAGUGCGGUAGGGGAGACUGGAAUUCCUGGUGUAGCGGUGAAAUGCGCAGAUAUCAGGAGGAACACCGGUGGCGAAGGCGGGUCUCUGGGCCGUAACUGACGCUGAGGUGCGAAAGCGUGGGGAGCAAACAGG